This 254-nucleotide ribosomal RNA is filed under the name uncultured bacterium. RNAcentral's name for it is "partial 16S ribosomal RNA". It matches the Rfam family "Bacterial small subunit ribosomal RNA", at positions 524 to 776 of the family's 1533-position model. The record is from RNAcentral.
UACGGGGGGAGCAAGCGUUGUUCGGAUUUACUGGGCGUAAAGGGCGCGUAGGCGGUCAGCACAAGUCAGUUGUGAAAUCUCCGGGCUUAACUCGGAAAGAUCAACUGAUACUGUGCGACUAGAGUGCAGAAGGGGCAACUGGAAUUCUCGGUGUAGCGGUGAAAUGCGUAGAUAUCGAGAGGAACACCUGCGGCGAAGGCGGGUUGCUGGGCUGACACUGACGCUGAGGCGCGAAAGCCAGGGGAGCGAACGGG